This 1102-nucleotide ribosomal RNA is filed under the name Cercophora aquatica. Its description in RNAcentral is "eukaryotic LSU rRNA". It matches the Rfam family "Eukaryotic large subunit ribosomal RNA", at positions 22 to 1155 of the family's 3401-position model. Lineage: Eukaryota; Fungi; Ascomycota; Sordariomycetes; Sordariales; Lasiosphaeriaceae. The record is from RNAcentral.
GUACCCGCUGAACUUAAGCAGAUCAAUAAGCGGAGGAAAAGAAACCCACAGGGAUUGCCCUAGUAACGGCGAGUGAAGCGGCAGCAGCUCAAAUUUGAAAUCUGGCUUCGGCCCGAGUUGUAAUUUGUAGAGGGAGCUUUCGGCGAGGCACCUACUGAGUCCCCUGGAACGGGGCGCCAUAGAGGGUGAGAGCCCCGUAUAGUAGGACGCCGAGCCUUUGUAAAGCCCCUUCGACGAGUCGAGUAGUUUGGGAAUGCUGCUCAAAAUGGGAGGUAAAUUUCUUCUAAAGCUAAAUAUUGGCCAGAGACCGAUAGCGCACAAGUAGAGUGAUCGAAAGAUGAAAAGCACUUUGAAAAGAGGGUUAAACAGCACGUGAAAUUGUUGAAAGGGAAGCGCUUGUGACCAGACUUGCGCCCGGCCGAUCAUCCGGUGUUCUCACCGGUGCACUCGGCCGGGCUCAGGCCAGCAUCGGUUCUGGCGGGGGGAUAAAGACCUGGGGAACGUAGCUCCUCCGGGAGUGUUACAGCCCUGAGUGCAACGCCCUCGCGGGGACCGAGGUUCGCGCAUCUGCAAGGAUGCUGGCGUAAUGGUCAUCAGCGACCCGUCUUGAAACACGGACCAAGGAGUCAAGGUUUUGCGCGAGUGUUUGGGUGUUAAACCCGCACGCGUAAUGAAAGUGAACGUAGGUGAGAGCUUCGGCGCAUCAUCGACCGAUCCUGAUGUUUUCGGAUGGAUUUGAGUAGGAGCGUUAAGCCUUGGACCCGAAAGAUGGUGAACUAUGCUUGGAUAGGGUGAAGCCAGAGGAAACUCUGGUGGAGGCUCGCAGCGGUUCUGACGUGCAAAUCGAUCGUCAAAUCUGAGCAUGGGGGCGAAAGACUAAUCGAACCAUCUAGUAGCUGGUUACCGCCGAAGUUUCCCUCAGGAUAGCAGUGUUGUUCUUCAGUUUUAUGAGGUAAAGCGAAUGAUUAGGGACUCGGGGGCGCUUUUUAGCCUUCAUCCAUUCUCAAACUUUAAAUAUGUAAGAAGCCCUUGUUACUUAAUUGAACGUGGGCAUUCGAAUGUACCAACACUAGUGGGCCAUUUUUGGUAAGCAGAACUGGCG